This 720-nucleotide ribosomal RNA is filed under the name uncultured bacterium. RNAcentral's name for it is "bacterial SSU rRNA". It matches the Rfam family "Bacterial small subunit ribosomal RNA", at positions 8 to 702 of the family's 1533-position model. The record is from RNAcentral.
AGGGUUUGAUCAUGGGCUCAGAAUGAACGUUGGCGGCGUGGAUUAGGCAUGCAAGUCGAGCGAGAAUCUGUGAGUGGAGGCUUCGGCCAAAGCGAUCAGAGGACAGCGGCAAACGGGGUAGUAAUGCGUAGGUGACGUACCCCAGGGACCGGGAUAGCCGCGGGAAACUGCGGGUAAUACCGGAUGACCUCUUCGGGCCUGGUAGCCUGAAGAGCAAAUGGUGAGAUUCCGCCCUGGGAGCGGCUUAUGUGGUAUUAGGUUGUUGGUGAGGUAACGGCUCACCAAGCCUGCGAUGCCUAGGGGGUGUGAGAGCAUGGCCCCCACCACUGGGACUGAGACACUGCCCAGACACCUACGGGUGGCUGCAGUCGAGGAUCUUCGGCAAUGGACGCAAGUCUGACCGAGCGACGCCGCGUGCGGGAUGAAGGCCCUUGGGUUGUAAACCGCUGUCAGAGGGGAUGAAAUGCGAGGGGGUUCUCCCCCCCGUUUGACAAAGCCUCAAAGGAAGCACGGGCUAAGUACGUGCCAGCAGCCGCGGUAACACGUACUGUGCGAACGUUAUUCGGAAUCACUGGGCUUAAAGGGUGCGUAGGCGGCUAUUUAAGUAGGGUGUGAAAUCCCCCGGCUCAACCGGGGAACUGCGCUCUAAACUGAAUGGCUUGAGCAAGAUAGGGGUGUGUGGAACUUCCAGUGGAGCGGUGAAAUGUGUUGAUAUUGGAA